RNAcentral lists this transfer RNA (66 nucleotides) under Dolophilodes bellatulus. RNAcentral's name for it is "tRNA-Asp". Lineage: Eukaryota; Metazoa; Arthropoda; Insecta; Trichoptera; Philopotamidae. The record is from RNAcentral.
AAAGAUUUAGUUAAACCUAUAACAUAAAUUUGUCAAAUUUAAAUUAUUAAAAAAUAAUAUUCUUUU